RNAcentral lists this long non-coding RNA (343 nucleotides) under Homo sapiens (human). RNAcentral's name for it is "non-protein coding lnc-TMEM248-1:1". The record is from RNAcentral. Lineage: Eukaryota; Metazoa; Chordata; Mammalia; Primates; Hominidae.
GAACUCGUGGUUUCAAGUGAUCCUCCCACCUCCACCUCUCUAAAUGGUGGAAUUACAGGCGUGAGCCACUGCCCCCAGCCACAAAUUUCUUUUCUUCUUCUUUUUUUUUGAGAUGGAGUCUUGCUCUUGUUGCCCAGGUUGGAGUGCAAUGGCAUGGUCUCAGCUCACUACAAUUUCCGCCUCCCAGCUCAGCCUCCCGAGAGGCUAGGAUUACACGUGCCUGCCACCAUGCCUGGCUAAUUUUUGUAUUUUUAGUAGAGACUUGAACCCGGUAGGUGGAGGUUGCAGUGAGCUGAGAUCACGCCAUUGCACUCCAGCCUGGGCGACAGAGCGAGACUCCGUC